GACGAACGCUGGCGGCGUGCCUAAUACAUGCAAGUCGAACGCUGAAGCUUGGUGUUUGCACCGAGCGGAUGAGUCGCGAACGGGUGAGUAACGCGUAGGUAACCUGCCUGGUAGCGGGGGAUAACUAUUGGAAACGAUAGCUAAUACCGCAUAAGAGUAGAUGUUGCAUGACGUUUGCUUAAAAUGUGCAAUUGCAUUACUACCACAUGGACCUGCGUUGUUUUAGCUAGUUGGUGAGGUAACGGCUCACCAAGGCAACGGUACAUAGCCGACCUGCGAGGGUGGUCGGCCACACUGGGAGUGUGACACGGCCCAUUGGCCUACGGGAGGCAGCAGGAGGGAAACUUCGGGAAUGGACGGGAGUCUUACCGAGCUGCGCCGCGGGAGUGAAGAAGGUUGUCGGAUCGUAGAGCUCUGUUUUAAGAGAAGAACGAGUGUGAGAGUGGAAAGUACACACUGUGACGGUAGCUGACCAGAAAGGGACGGCUAACUACGUG
RNAcentral lists this ribosomal RNA (497 nucleotides) under uncultured bacterium. RNAcentral's name for it is "partial 16S ribosomal RNA". It matches the Rfam family "Bacterial small subunit ribosomal RNA", at positions 28 to 507 of the family's 1533-position model. The record is from RNAcentral.